UACCAGGUAACACAGGAUGCAGACGGUGU
Molecule: non-coding RNA, 29 nt
Filed under: Mus musculus (house mouse)
Lineage: Eukaryota; Metazoa; Chordata; Mammalia; Rodentia; Muridae
Source: RNAcentral